RNAcentral lists this ribosomal RNA (496 nucleotides) under uncultured bacterium. Its description in RNAcentral is "partial 16S ribosomal RNA". It matches the Rfam family "Bacterial small subunit ribosomal RNA", at positions 29 to 507 of the family's 1533-position model. The record is from RNAcentral.
AUGAACGCUGGCGGCGUGCCUAAUACAUGCAAGUCGAGCGAACGGACGAGAAGCUUGCUUCUCUGAUGUUAGCGGCGGACGGGUGAGUAACACGUGGAUAACCUACCUAUAAGACUGGGAUAACUUCGGGAAACCGGAGCUAAUACCGGAUAAUAUUUUGAACCGCAUGGUUCAAAAGUGAAAGACGGUCUUGCUGUCACUUAUAGAUGGAUCCGCGCUGCAUUAGCUAGUUGGUAAGGUAACGGCUUACCAAGGCAACGAUGCAUAGCCGACCUGAGAGGGUGAUCGGCCACACUCGAACUGAGACACGGUCCAGACUCCUACGGGAGGCAGCAGUAGGGAAUCUUCCGCAAUGGGCGAAAGCCUGACGGAGCAACGCCGCGUGAGUGAUGAAGGUCUUCAGAUCGUAAAACUCUGUUAUUAGGGAAGAACAUAUGUGUAAGUAACUGUGCACAUCUUGACGGUACCUAAUCAGAAAGCCACGGCUAACUACGUG